Molecule: ribosomal RNA, 537 nt
Filed under: uncultured bacterium
Lineage: Bacteria
Description: bacterial SSU rRNA
Rfam family: Bacterial small subunit ribosomal RNA
Source: RNAcentral
GACGAACGCUGGCGGCGUGGAUUAGGCAUGCAAGUCGAACGGUAUGGACCUUUCGGGGUUCAGAGAGUGGCGAACGGGUGAGUAACACGUAGGUAAUCUACCCUCAAGACGGGGACAACCCAGGGAAACUUGGGCUAAUACCGGAUGUGUGUAGUGGCUAUUUUUCUGAUUAUCAUUAUUUACGUAAGUGAGUAAUAAUAAGAAGGGAAAGUGGUUAUUACAUAAAAGGUGGCGUAAGCUGCCGCUUGGGGAUGAGCCUGCGUCCUAUUAGUUAGUUGGUGAGGUAACGGCUUACCAAGGCGAUGAUAGGUAGGCGGCCUUAACGGGUGGUCGCCCACACUGGGGAUUGAGAUACGGCCCAGACUCCUACGGGAGGCAGCAGUCGAGAAUAGUCUACAAUGGACGGAAGUCUGAUAGUGCGACGCCGCGUGAACGAGAAUCCCUUCGGGGUGUAAAGUUCUUUUAUACGUGAGCAGUGUCCUUUAUAUUAAUAGUAUAAGGGGAGAGAUAUUAGCGUAUGAAUAAGCAACGGCUAAC